GGCCAGACUCCUACGGGAGGCAGCAGUGGGGGAUAUUGCACAAUGGGGGGAACCCUGAUGCAGCGACGCCGCGUGGGUGAAGGAGCGUUUCGGCGCGUAAAGCCCUAUCGGCAGGGAAGAAGGAGGACGGUACCUGACUAAGAAGCCCCGGCUAACUACGUGCCAGCAGCCGCGGUAAUACGUAGGGGGCAAGCGUUAUCCGGAAUUACUGGGGGUAAAGGGAGCGCAGACGGCGAUGCAAGCCAGGAGUGAAAGCCCGGGGCCCAACCCCGGGACUGCUCUUGGAACUGCGUGGCUGGAGUGCAGGAGGGGCAGGCGGAAUUCCUGGUGUAGCGGUGAAAUGCGUAGAUAUCAGGAGGAACACCGGCGGCGAAGGCGGCCUGCUGGACCGUGACUGACGUUGAGGCUCGAGAGCGUGGGGAGCAAACAGGAUUAGAUACCCCCGUAAG
RNAcentral lists this ribosomal RNA (449 nucleotides) under uncultured bacterium. RNAcentral describes it as "partial 16S ribosomal RNA". It matches the Rfam family "Bacterial small subunit ribosomal RNA", at positions 329 to 793 of the family's 1533-position model. The record is from RNAcentral.